Molecule: unclassified non-coding RNA, 22 nt
Filed under: Dictyostelium discoideum
Lineage: Eukaryota; Evosea; Eumycetozoa; Dictyosteliales; Dictyosteliaceae
Source: RNAcentral
AAUUCUUAAUAAAGACAGAGUC